This 435-nucleotide ribosomal RNA is filed under the name uncultured bacterium. RNAcentral describes it as "partial 16S ribosomal RNA". It matches the Rfam family "Bacterial small subunit ribosomal RNA", at positions 28 to 507 of the family's 1533-position model. The record is from RNAcentral.
GAUGAACGCUGGCGGUAUGCUUAACACAUGCAAGUCGAACGGACUCUUCGGAGUUUGUGGCGGCUGGGUGUGUCACGCGUGAGAAUCUGGCCUUGGGUUUGGGCCACCUACUGGAAACGGUUGACAAUACCGGACGUGACGAGAGGCAAAAGAGUAAUUGACUGCACAUGAGCUCAGGUUUGAAUAGCUAGUUGGUGAGGUUAAGGCUCACCAAGGCAGCGAUCAGUCGCAGGUUUGAGAGGAUGACCGGCCACGAUGGGAAUGAGAAGCAGCCCAGACGACUACGCGGGGCAGCGGGGGAGAAUUUUGCGCAAAGGGCGAGAGAGUGACGGAGGGAUACCGCGUGAGAAAAGAUGUCAUUUGGGAUGAAAACCUCUUUUCGUAAGGAAGAACAAAAUGACGGUACCUAAUGAGACAGCAACGGCUAACUCCGUG